CCUACGGGAGGCAGCAGUAGGGAAUCUUCCACAAUGGGCGAAAGCCUGAUGGAGCAACGCCGCGUGGGUGAAGAAGGUCUUCGGAUCGUAAAACCCUGUUGUUAGAGAAGAAAGUGCGUGAGAGUCACUGUUCACGUUUCGACGGUAUCUAACCAGAAAGCCACGGCUAACUACGUGCCAGCAGCCGCGGUAAUACGUAGGUGGCAAGCGUUAUCCGGAUUUAUUGGGCGUAAAGGGAACGCAGGCGGUCUUUUAAGUCUGAUGUGAAAGCCUUCGGCUUAACCGGAGUAGUGCAUUGGAAACUGGGAGACUGGAGUGCAGAAGAGGAGAGUGGAACUCCAUGUGUAGCGGGGAAAUGCGUAGAUAGAUGGAAGAACACCAGUGGCGAAAGCGGCUCUCUGGUCUGUAACUGACGCUGAGGUUCGAAAGCGUGGGUAGCAAACAGGAUUAGAUACCCUAGUAGUC
Molecule: ribosomal RNA, 465 nt
Filed under: uncultured bacterium
Lineage: Bacteria
Description: partial 16S ribosomal RNA
Rfam family: Bacterial small subunit ribosomal RNA
Source: RNAcentral